AAAAUGCGAUAAGUAAUGUGAAUUGCAGAAUUCAGUGAAUCAUCGAAUCUUUGAACGCACAUUGCGCCCGCCAGUAUUCUGGCGGGCAUGCCUGUCUGAGCGUCAUUUCAACCCUCGGGACCCCGUUCGCGGGACCCGGCGUUGGGGAUCAGCCCGAAGCCCCCCCGGGGCGGGCGGCUGGCCCCGAAAUCUAGUGGCGGUCCCCCCAGCGACCUCCUCUGCGCAGUAGUAACUCACCUAGCAGCUGGACAGCGGGAGGGCCACGCCGUAAAACCCCCAACUUCUCAAAGGUUGACCUCAGAUCAGGUAGGAAUACCCGCUGAACUUAAGC
This 331-nucleotide unclassified non-coding RNA is filed under the name plant metagenome. Its description in RNAcentral is "partial contains 5.8S ribosomal RNA, internal transcribed spacer 2, and large subunit ribosomal RNA". The stretch from base 1 to 105 matches the Rfam family "5.8S ribosomal RNA", at positions 50 to 154 of the family's 154-position model. The record is from RNAcentral.